AGUAGUCGUUUCUGCUUCAUUAUUACUUGAGAUCGUUAUUGGAGUGCAUAACUGAGCAACAAAUGGGUCGAAGAUUGGAACCCUGUACAGAAGCCGCUCCUCUUCGUUCUCCUCAUGACAUAUCUCAUCUGAGCCUACUUCAGGCACAAGCGGAAUGGUAUUCCUUAAUUUUUGUUCGAAUUUUGAACGAGAUGCAGGCUUUCCAUAUCGCGGUGUCCUGGCCUUUCUUGU
This 231-nucleotide unclassified non-coding RNA is filed under the name Hevea brasiliensis (rubber tree). The record is from RNAcentral. Lineage: Eukaryota; Viridiplantae; Streptophyta; Magnoliopsida; Malpighiales; Euphorbiaceae.